RNAcentral lists this long non-coding RNA (740 nucleotides) under Physcomitrium patens. Its description in RNAcentral is "long non-coding RNA (PPAT_LNC005077)". The record is from RNAcentral. Lineage: Eukaryota; Viridiplantae; Streptophyta; Bryopsida; Funariales; Funariaceae.
UAUUUUUUCAUGAUUUGGUUAGGAUUUAGGAUUUAGAAUUUUGCUAGGAUUUUAUUAAGAUUGGUCUAAGAUUUGGGAUUUGGUUAGGAUUUGGAAUUUGAUUAGAAUUUUCUUAGGAUUUAGUUUAGGAUUUGAUUAGAAUUUAGGAUUAUUUUAGGAUUUGAUUAAGAUUUAAUUAAUAUUUACUUAAGAUUUAAUUUAAUAUUUGAUUAUAAUUUAGGAUUUGACUAGGAUUUGAUUAGGAUUUGAUUGGAAUUUGAUUAGGAUUUGAAGAAGAUUUAGGAUUUUGCUAGGAUUUUAGUAGGAUUGAUCUAGAAUUUGAGAUUUAGUUAGAAUUUUGAAUUUGAUUAGGAUUUAUUUUAGGAUUUGAUUAAGAUUCAUGAUUUUUUUAGAAUUUAAUUAUGAAUUAAUUUAUAAAAUAGAAUUUGAUUUAAGAUUUGAUUUAAGAUUUGAUUAUGAUUUGAGAUUUUGUUAAGAUUUGAUUAGGAUUUAAUUAGGAUUUUUUUAAGAUUUUAUUUAAGAUUUGAUUAGGAUUUAGGUUUUGAUUAGGAUUUAUUUAGAAUUUAUUUGAAAUUUAAUUAGAAUUUGAUCAAGGUUUAGAUGAGAUUUCAUUAGAAUUUAUAAAGAUUUGGUUUAAAGUUUGACUUAGAUUGGUUUAGGAUUUUAUUAGGAUUUGUUGAAAGUUACAUUAGGAUUUUAUUAGCAUUCAAUUAAGAUAUCUAUUUUUGAUAUUUUUUAAA